Molecule: long non-coding RNA, 1146 nt
Filed under: Calidris pygmaea (Spoon-billed sandpiper)
Lineage: Eukaryota; Metazoa; Chordata; Aves; Charadriiformes; Scolopacidae
Description: lncRNA (ENSCPGG00000000483.1)
Source: RNAcentral
CAGUGGGUGCCACUGUAAAAAAAGUGACACACGUUGGUGCUAGCUAAAUGCUGCCAGCUCCUAGCCAUGUGCAUGGUCAGCCUGGUAGAUGCAGGGUCAGACCUCAGACUGGUAGUGGGGUAUCCCUUGCUCAUAUCUCACAUGCUGAGCAUCCCUGUGGUCCAGGAUACACAAGAUACUUAUGGAUCACAGAAUCACAGAGUGAUACGGAGUUGGAGGGGACCUCUGGAGAUCAUCCAAUCAGAGCAGGUCCACCCAGAGCAGGAAUGUGUCCAGGUGGGUUUUGAAUGUCUCCAGAGAUGAAGACUCCACAACCUCUCUGAGCAGCCUGUUCCAGGACUCUGCCACCCUCAAAGAAGUUCCUCCUCAUGUUUAGGAUCUUUUAGGGAUGCAUUAUAAUUCUUUAUAUAUAUAUUCUAUAUUUCUCCAUUAGGAGCAGACAGAAGAUCCAUGGAGACAGAAAGAGAUGCCAGGAAGUCUGUAACACUUGAUGGCUCCAAAGUUAAUCAUCAAAGUCUGCAGGGGUCGUCUCUGGCUAAGCAAAUCCGGCUGUUCCUUGUACACUGGUGGAAGUCAAAGCCAGGAACCUAUUUUGAAGCCUACCACGGGAGGGCGAUGGAUUCCCCCCAGCCUGCGGGAAAUAUUCGCUUUUGGCUGAGAUGGGAGAUGCACGGAAUGGGCUGUAGAGGUCCCCUUGCUCCAGGAGAUGUCUGGGGCUGAGAGGUGACAGCGCUCCGGUGACUUUCUCCAAGGGGAAAGCAGGAACGGUAAGUUUAGCCCCAGCCUAAAUCUGAUGGCUCUUUGAAGACAGGCUGAGAUGAUUUUUCCAGAAAACCAAUAUUGAGAUGGUCCUGCCGCUGGCCCAAGGAAAUUUGCAAGGGAAAGGGAUGCUCACUGGGCAAACUGGUGAUGUGGGACUUUACUGGCAGCUAAAAUCAAACCUUCCCCAAAUGCUGCACGGGAUGGGAUGCUGGAGCUGACAGCUCACCAUGAUGUGCACAUCACAGGGCUGAGGCGUGUUCCUGUGCAUGUGCAUUUGCAAGGUUUGCACACACCUCUGUGGGGCGUCUAGGAGCCUUGUUGAAAUUUAAGACAUUUUAAAUGUCUUUCUUAAUGGCCAGGACAAUAAAAGGUUUGCAUCUGGCA